CCUACGCGAGGCAGCAGUGAGGAAUAUUGGUCAAUGGACGAGAGUCUGAACCAGCCAAGUAGCGUGAAGGAUGACUGCCCUAUGGGUUGUAAACUUCUUUUAUAAAGGAAUAAAACGAGGCAAGUGUGCCUUUUUGCAUGUACUUUAUGAAUAAGGAUCGGAUAACUCCGUGCCAGCAGCCGAGGUAAUACGGAGGAUCCGAGCGUUAUCCGGAUUUAUUGGGUGUCAAGGGAGCGUAGAUGGGUUGUUCAGUCAGUUGUGAAAGUUUGCGGCUCAACCGUAAAAUUGCAUUUGCUACUGGCAGUCUUCAGUACAGUUGAGGUCGGCGGCUUUCGUGGUGUAGCGGUGUACUCCUUCGAUAUCACGUAGAACCCCGAUUGC
RNAcentral lists this ribosomal RNA (381 nucleotides) under uncultured bacterium. RNAcentral's name for it is "partial 16S ribosomal RNA". It matches the Rfam family "Bacterial small subunit ribosomal RNA", at positions 338 to 716 of the family's 1533-position model. The record is from RNAcentral.